AGGGUUUGAUCAUGGCUCAGAUUGAACGCUGGCGGUAGGCUUAACACAUGCAAGUCGUGCGAGAAAGUAUCUUCGGAUAUGAGUAGAGCGGCGGACGGGUGAGUAACGCGUAGGAAUCUACCUAGUAGAAGGGGAUAGCCCGGGGGAACCCGGAUUAAUACCGUAUACCUCCUUCGGGAGAAAGAAGGCCUCUCUUUGAAGCUUUCGCUACUAGAUGAGCCUGCGUAAGAUUAGCUUGUUGGUGAGGUAAAGGCUCACCAAGGCUACGAUCUUUAGCUGGUCUGAGAGGACGAUCAGCCACAUUGGGACUGAGACACGGCCCAGACUCCUACGGGAGGCAGCAGUGGGGAAUAUUGGACAAUGGGCGCAAGCCUGAUCCAGCCAUACCGCGUGUGUGAAGAAGGCCUUCGGGUUGUAAAGCACUUUAAGCAGGGAGAAAAAGUUAUAAGUUAAUACCUUAUAACCCUGAUGUUACCUGCAGAAUAAGCACCGGCUAAUUCCGUGCCAGCCGCCGCGGUAAUAC
This 523-nucleotide ribosomal RNA is filed under the name uncultured bacterium. Its description in RNAcentral is "bacterial SSU rRNA". It matches the Rfam family "Bacterial small subunit ribosomal RNA", at positions 8 to 526 of the family's 1533-position model. The record is from RNAcentral.